UCAUCAUUUAAGCCGACAGGUUUGCCAUAUUGAUGGUAGGGAAGGGGGUGUAAAUCCCCCGCAGCCCCCGCUGCUGUGAUGCUGACGACCCCGUGUACACCACUGAUCGCAAGAUUGGGAAGGACGGGCGAGGAGGACGCUAAGCCAGAAGACCUGCCCGUCGGUAACUACCAAC
Molecule: non-coding RNA, 175 nt
Filed under: Edwardsiella ictaluri
Lineage: Bacteria; Pseudomonadati; Pseudomonadota; Gammaproteobacteria; Enterobacterales; Hafniaceae
Source: RNAcentral